UAAAAUGAGGGGAGAGAGAGAGGGGAAUAGGAAGAGAGCAGCAGAAUGAGAAUAGCGAAAUUGGGUUAGGAUUAUUACCUUGGAGCAGAAAAAGGGAAGAGAUGGAAAAAGAACUGAAAAAUGGUGGAUAUGCAGAUUACGACGGUUGAUUGAAGAGAAGCAAGAAAGCUGAGAAUGUAUUGGCGCUGAAGGCGCCAUGAUUCAGAUCAACAACUCAAAUGUAAUUGGAGCAGACUAGCAACUAUAGAAUUGUUGUUGUCAAUAAAUGGGUCUUUGUUUCA
Molecule: long non-coding RNA, 281 nt
Organism: Ricinus communis (castor bean)
Lineage: Eukaryota; Viridiplantae; Streptophyta; Magnoliopsida; Malpighiales; Euphorbiaceae
Exons: 2
Source: RefSeq, a predicted model, not a curated record